Molecule: ribosomal RNA, 497 nt
Filed under: uncultured bacterium
Lineage: Bacteria
Description: partial 16S ribosomal RNA
Rfam family: Bacterial small subunit ribosomal RNA
Source: RNAcentral
GAUGAACGCUGGCGGCGUGCCUAAUACAUGCAAGUCGAACGCUGAAGGAAGGAGCUUGCUCUUUCCGGAUGAGUUGCGAACGGGUGAGUAACGCGUAGGUAACCUGCCUGGUAGCGGGGGAUAACUAUUGGAAACGAUAGCUAAUACCGCAUAACAGUAGAUGUUGCAUGAUAUCUACUUAAAAGGUGCAAUUGCACCACUACCAGAUGGACCUGCGUUGUAUUAGGUAGUUGGUGAGGUAACGGCUCACCAAGGCGACGAUACAUAGCCGACCUGAGAGGGUGAUCGGCCACAAUGGGACUGAGACACGGCCCAGGAUUCUACGGGAGGGAGCAGGAGGGGAAUAUUGGAAAAGGGGGGAAAGCUGACCCAAGAAAGCCGGGGGGGGUAAGGAGGGUUUCGGGUCGGAAAGCUCUGUUGGAAGGGAAGAAAGAGUGUGAGAGUAGAAAGUUCACACUGUGACGGUACCUUACCAGAAAGGGACGGCUAACUACGUG